Molecule: ribosomal RNA, 258 nt
Filed under: uncultured Staphylococcus sp.
Lineage: Bacteria; Bacillati; Bacillota; Bacilli; Caryophanales; Staphylococcaceae
Description: partial 16S ribosomal RNA
Rfam family: Bacterial small subunit ribosomal RNA
Source: RNAcentral
CGGGUGAGUAACACGUGGAUAACCUACCUAUAAGACUGGAUAACUUCGGGAAACCGGAGCUAAUACCGGAUAAUAUAUUGAACCGCAUGGUUCAAUAGUGAAAGACGGUUUUGCUGUCACUUAUAGAUGGAUCCGCGCUGCAUUAGCUAGUUGGUAAGGUAACGGCUUACCAAGGCAACGAUGCGUAGCCGACCUGAGAGGGUGAUCGGCCACACUGGAACUGAGACACGGUCCAGACUCCUACGGGAGGCAGCAGGC